This 471-nucleotide ribosomal RNA is filed under the name uncultured Bacillota bacterium. RNAcentral describes it as "bacterial SSU rRNA". It matches the Rfam family "Bacterial small subunit ribosomal RNA", at positions 355 to 815 of the family's 1533-position model. The record is from RNAcentral. Lineage: Bacteria; Bacillati; Bacillota.
UAGGGAAUCUUCCGCAAUGGACGAAAGUCUGACGGAGCAACGCCGCGUGAGUGAUGAAGGCUUUCGGGUCGUAAAACUCUGUUGUUAGGGAAGAACAAGUGCUAGUUGAAUAAGCUGGCACCUUGACGGUACCUAACCAGAAAGCCACGGCUAACUACGUGCCAGCAGCCGCGGUAAUACGUAGGUGGCAAGCGUUAUCCGGAAUUAUUGGGCGUAAAGCGCGCGCAGGUGGUUUCUUAAGUCUGAUGUGAAAGCCCACGGCUCAACCAUGGAGGGUCAUUGGAAACUGGGAGACUUGAGUGCAGAAGAGGAAAGUGGAAUUCCAUGUGUAGCGGUGAAAUGCGUAGAGAUAUGGAGGAACACCAGUGGCGAAGGCGACUUUCUGGUCUGUAACUGACACUGAGGCGCGAAAGCGUGGGGAGCAAACAGGAUUAGAUACCCGUGGUAGUCCACGCCGUAAACCGAUGAGUG